Molecule: ribosomal RNA, 572 nt
Filed under: Bradyrhizobium japonicum
Lineage: Bacteria; Pseudomonadati; Pseudomonadota; Alphaproteobacteria; Hyphomicrobiales; Nitrobacteraceae
Description: bacterial SSU rRNA
Rfam family: Bacterial small subunit ribosomal RNA
Source: RNAcentral
CGCAGCUAACGCUUUAAGCAUUCCGCCUGGGGAGUACGGCCGCAAGGUUAAAACUCAAAUGAAUUGACGGGGGCCCGCACAAGCGGUGGAGCAUGUGGUUUAAUUCGAUGCAACGCGAAGAACCUUACCAGCCCUUGACAUGUCCAGGACCGGUCGCAGAGAGAUGUGACCUUCUCUUCCGGAGCCUGGAGCACAGGUGCUGCAUGGCUGUCGUCAGCUCGUGUUGUGAAAUGUUGGGUUAAGUCCCGCAACGAGCGCAACCCCCGUCCUUUGUUGCUACCAUUUAGUUGAGCACUCAAAGGAGACUGCCAGUGAUAAACUGGAGGAAGGUGGGGAUGACGUCAAGUCAUCAUGGCCCUUACGACCAGGGCUACACACGUGCUACAAUGGCGGUGACAAUGGGAUGCUAAGGGGCGACCCUUCGCAAACCUCAAAAAGGCGUCGUAGUCCGGAUUGGAGUCUGCAACUCGACUCCAUGAAGUCGGAAUCGCUAGUAAUCGUAGAUCAGAAUGCUACGGUGAAUACGUUCCCGGGCCUUGUACACACCGCCCGUCACACCAUGGGAGUGGGUU